This 8102-nucleotide long non-coding RNA is filed under the name Lactuca sativa (garden lettuce). RNAcentral's name for it is "long non-coding RNA (LSAT_LNC005215)". Lineage: Eukaryota; Viridiplantae; Streptophyta; Magnoliopsida; Asterales; Asteraceae. The record is from RNAcentral.
AAAAUGUCCCUAAAGGCUUGGAAAUAAAUUAAGGGAUUAGCCUAGGAGUGUUUGAUCAAUUAAAACAAUCAAUUUGGGGUAUAAAAGGGAGUUUACGGCCCAGGCAUAUGCCAAGGCCGUAAACACCCCUUAAUCAUGUCUAAAUGUCCUAAAAACACUCCUAAAACACCCUAGGACUUAAUACAUAAAUUAAGGGCUUAUCCUUUUGGGUUUAGAACAUUUAAACAUAAGGAUUUGGAGGAUUGAAAGGAGUUUACGGCCGCAAAAUCAUGGUGAGAUGUCCCUGGGCCGUAAACUAAGCUUUGGGAGUUUACUCUUGAAGAGUAAACUCCAUUCCCUAGCCAUACACACCUUUAGAGGCUACCCGGGACACCCAAACACUUAACCAAAGUGUUUUCUGCUCCUUUGAGCGCGUAUACUUGUUUAAUUAGUAUUAAAUAUACUAAUUGUAUGUGAACAUAUGUUAUCAUAUGUUAAAUAGGUCAUUAAGUGUGNGUCAUCGAGUGUGUUCGAGUCUUUACGUGACACCGAACGCCCAAACGGCACCUACGUCGGACCUACUAACACCACGUGAGUUCAUACCCCUGAAUGAACGUUUUAAUGUUUUUACAUGUUUUAUAGGGGGGAAUACAAGUUAAACAUGCCAGUUAUCAUAUCAAUCACACAUGAUUGAUAACCCGCAUGCACAAGAUUUUACCACACUGUACACUAUUUAACCGAGUAGGACACUAUAAUGGUUUUCAAAAGGGAUUUCAAUUGUUUCAAAACUCUUACUUAUACUGUUUUACCUAAAUUCAUUUUAAACUGGUUUAUGAAAGAUUCCAAAGAUUUCUAAAGGUUUUCACACUUAUUUUACCAAAGAAUACCAAAUGCGAGUUUUCCUGAGUAUAAAGGUUUUUCCAAGGUUUUCAUCAAAGUUCCAUCUCACGUUGUAUAUUUUUACUUGUUAGUUACCGCUGCUUUGCUUUCAUGUAUUUUAAACUCCUACUCGAUAAUGCUUUCACUUCGUGAUGCGUUUAUACCUGUUAUUGUCUCUAUUUCACUUAUACUUGUAGUCGGUUAUACCUGAUAGACGCUCUUACUUCACUUAUUGUUGUCCCCACUUCGUGAUACACUUAUACUUGGUACACUUAUACUUCACGAUUCUAUUAUCCCACACUGUACGCUUAUACUUCACGACUCAGAUGUUCCACUGUAUGCUUAUACUUCACGACUCGGAUAUUCCACUGUACGCUUCUACUUCACAAGUCGGUUAUUCUACACUGUACACUUAUACUUCACAAUAUGAUUCCACUUGAUACACACUCAAGCAUAGUUAGAUGUAUGUAUGUGCUUGUAUAGAUGCAUAUAAAUAAUGAUUGACGGACUUAGGAAGGCUUGUCCGCCCUAUUUCCUUUUCUUCGUUGAGAUGUGGUCUGGUGGGAUCGGAUGUCCAUCCGAAGGUCGUUUGAUUCAUUAGUUAUAUAUUAUGUACACAAGCAUAGACAUAUGGGUUUACUUCAGUCAGUUCAGUUAUGAGUCUCUACCUCUAGUUCAGCACUUACAUUAGAAACCCACUAGUUGGAAGUCUCUACCCACUAUUUGGGAUGCAUCUUCAGGACACGGCCUUCUCCGUCGUCUAGUUGGUAACCAGAGUCUCCUGUAGGGAGAGCGGACAUUGUGUGUAUAGAUCUAUACGGGAUUGACACCCCCGCACCCUGACUGCUAGCUACAGUCCACGGCCUACCAAGCCAAGGGGUGACAAAUGUCAUAUUUUAUAGACGCUUGUAGGGCGUCAGGUACUCUAGUGUCGGUUAGUAUGGUUACGAGUAUCCCAGGUUACCUUAUAAUUCAUGGCCUUAAGGUAAUGGUAAUUCACCAAUAAUUUACACUGUAUGCUGGAAACCCACUCUCGAAGUCACACUGUUUUAGACCUUGCUAGACGUAUCAUUCAUUUGAUAAUGUCUGGGUCUGUAUUCACUGUAUUCACUGUAAACACUGUAUCCACUGUAUCCACUGUAUCCACUGUAUCCACUGUAUUCACUGUAUUCACUGUUUUAGACCUUGCUAGACGUAUCUUUCAUUUGAUAUUGUCUGCGGUCUGUAUUCACUGUUUUAGACCUUACCAGCUGUACCUUUCAUUUGGUACCUUCUGGGGUCUGUGUCUCUAUUUGUUAGACUGAACCAGGCGUGUCGUUCGUUCGAUACUCUCCUGGAGUCUAUGAUUCCUUUGCCUUAGUCAGCAGUCCUCACUGCUGAGGCAUAUGUUAUUUCCCUGUUGUCUCUUGCUUUCUUUAAUAAUCAAAUUCAGUAUUUUGAUAAUGAUAGCAAUUAAGGGAAAACUACUUUUUACCACAUAACACUGACCAGUCUUGGUAGAAGGCUGCUUUUAUUAAAGAAAAUAUAGGAUUUUCUGGAAAGAACUCUAAUACACAGUAAACACUUAAACUACUACUUUAUAAAGUUAUUUGAAUAAAUGUCACUAAAUGCUUAUGAACUCACCAGCAUUUGUAAAAAUGCUGAUACUCGUUUUUCAAAUAACUUGUAUUCUCAGGUUAGCAUUAGACAGGUACAUCCCAGGAGCUGUUGAUGAAGAUAGCUUAAUACCACGCCGUAUUUAUUCUAUUACUUGUAUUACUUUGAUGUAUUGUAAUGUAACCAUGUAAAACUAUUACUAUUAAUGCAAUGUUUUGUUGUACUUUGAUUACUAUAAUGCAUGUGUUGUGAUACUUGACAUGACGUCAUCCACCCCAGAACGUUUCCACCGUUCCGGUUUUGGGGUGUGACAGAUUGGUAUCAGAGCAUUGUUUAUAGUGAGCUAAGUAUAUCAAUUCAUAAAAGAUAUACAACCUAUAAAUACAAAGGGAUAAAACACUCUGACCAAGAAUUAUACUUUAAAAUAUAACCAUAUUUUACCAAAGUAUAAGAACAUCCAGAAUCUAAACACUCGAACAAAAGUAUCACAAGAAGAACAAGAAUAAAAGUCUUCGGAUGUUGAGCAUUACCGUCAAACCUGGGCAGUUAUGUAAUCGUAAGCUGGAAUAAAUGUAACCUGAUCAACUACAUUUAUUCGAGAUGCGAUGAACGUGUGCUUGGGAGUGAUAGUGGUGUUGCAACAGGUCUGAAACUUACCAACUAGGAAUGUUAGAGCCAAACACUAAGAUAAAAUACUAUAGGAGUAUUUUGGAACACUAAAUGAUUCACACUAAUCCCAGAAUUCAUAUUCAGAAGAUAAGGAAACAAACAAGAAUUAAAAUACCAUAGGGGUGUUUUAGGAUCCAUAACCAACCUUGCGUGAAUAACUAAAAAGAUCCUUAUUGAUAUACCUACAACUAUAGAGGGUGUACUCCCAAGGUUAUAUAUAAUAAGGAUCCCAUAGGCUAAGAAUGUGUGGUUUCGCUUCACUUCCUUUUCCUCGUUGGGAUGUGGAUAUAGAGUAGUAUCACAUAUUCGAAGGCCUAUCGGAUGUAAGUUAUAUAUGAUUUGUAUACCCUGUGUAAUCGUAGCAGGACUCGAUAUGGAUCACCCAGUGAAAUGUUAAUAAUCCCUUAGGAUUCUUUAGACAUUUCCAUUCUCGCACGAACCCCGUAGAAAACCCUACCCUCUUCAGUGCUCGACAGAUGAGUUGAUAAAGACCCAGAGGAGGUUCAUUGGGAAGAUUUCUUGUUCGGAAAUAAAUGAACUGGGUCGAGACUAUUGAAUGCACCAAGUGCCUAUAUUCUUCUAGGGACAUCGGUGCGAAAUUUGCCUAAACUUCCGAGAUUCCCAGACGCCCUUUAUGAGGUGAUGACACCCAUUUUCGGAUUCGUAAGUGAGGUAAAAUAGAAAUUCAAUAUGUCCAUACGAGAAAAGAACCCUAGGAAACUACCCGAAGGAAACCAGCGCCGACUUCAGUCAAAGAUACGAGGCAGACCGAGGGAGCCAAUACAUGGAACCCGGGAAUUGUCUUUUCCUCCUGUUCGACACACUAAUACACCCAUAAAUUAAUACAAAUUAGUGAGUUAGUGGUUACACAACUCACGCUAUGUGUUAGGUAAAUCGUCAUUUCCUCGUUGCCAGAUUCACGUUUAGGGCGGAUCCCCACACCUUUAUUGAGAGUGUUUAGCCAUGAGCUUUCAUGAGCCUCUCUUUCCGCAGUUUCGUUCCAAACCGUUCUCAAAUCUCUCCAGGUCGGAGAGUAAAACCUUUCCCAGUAUAAAGGUAACGUAGUAGGAACGACUCGCAUCUUAUAGCCUUUUUCCGAUACUCAUACACCUACUUCGAUUUCCAGGACUACAUCAUAGGGAUGUAGGUCGACACUCAGACAAUCAGUACCNAAUCAGUACCUAGGCACGGGAAAAAUUUAUGCCUAAUAUAUUUAGGACAGGAAUGUCCAGGGUUAGCCAUCGUCUCUCAUUACCUCGUAUUCCUUUCUGUGUAGGGAAAACCAUGUCGCCGAAGAAGCGUAACCAGUCCACAAGCAAGAAACCUACUCUCUUAUUCGAUGAAGCUAGGUUUCAAGCUGUAGUCUCCGCAGCCGCAACAACUGUCAUGGCUCACCUGAAUGCUAACACCGCCAAUGUUAGCAAGGGCCCUGUCGGAAUUUUCGAUCCUGGCAAUGGACAGCAGCAACCAACACUUUCAUACCCAGUCACCCAAGAACCUCAACCGAACCCACUAAAGAGAAAACUCAAGAUUGAGGAGGGAAGUACCUCGGCUCAAGGACCUUCCGAAGGGCAACGAGCUGAGACGGCCAAUGCUCCUGUAAAUCCUUCCCUCCCGACUCCAAGAAGACCAUACCUAGGAAACAUUCCCCAUUGCAACAAGUGUAGCUACCAUCAUCAUGGUGUCUGUCGGGAGCUCUAUUGUGCUAGGUGCCACAUGUUGGGGCAUACUGCUCGCGUCUGCAGAACCCCGGUUGAGUUCAUUACAUCAACCACAAAUGUGGCAACCCGUACAGUUUGCCACCUAUGUGGUGAAGUGGGACACUUCAAGAAGGACUGCCCAACCGAAGGGAAAGACAAGGACACAGGAGGAGCCUGACUCUAUUGCUUAAGGAAGAGCGUCAAAGAACUCGUUAGAUUUUGGUAUGUCUCUCGAUUUUGGUAUGUCUCUCGACUCCAAGAAGACCAUACCUAGGAAACCUUCCCCAAUAAGGCAAAAGUCGCAGCACUGUUUUAAAAUUUAAAAAUUCAUUAGGUAAAACUAUAAUGGCUAAACAUAUACGUCACGGCCAUGUAUAGUUAAGAUGGACAGACCUAGAGUGAGCGAAUGCCGCCUCCUUUCCUGUUCCUCGUUUGGUUGUGGAUUUAGGGCGGGGUCGCUCAGUCAACAGUCCUCCCCACCUUAAAUAUACAUGACUAGUAUAUGUGAGGCGAUUAUAGAAAUGCNCCACUCAUGAAAAGGUACUCUACUAAGAAACACUUAGGACUCUCUAUAGUUCCGUGUCGACUCUAUCGGUCCAAGUAUCCGUGGUAGUGAUACACAGGACGAAACCCGAGACACCUAGAACUUGUGUGCUUGUUCGGCACAUGACUCUAAUGAUCUUCAUUAUAUAUCAUGUCGGAGUGUGCCAACUUCGACGACUCUAUUGAUCAUGUUUUGACUUCGUGCCACCAUGUGUACAUCCUUAGUGUUGUGUAAAAAGAACUUUCUCCGUAGCCAUGUCGGCAAAUAAAGGUUCUCCCGAAUCUAAAACUAACACAAAUAAUCAAACCUAAUGCGAUCCAUCAAUCGUCCCUCUUAUCUCAAACCUUCCGAAGUACCCAAGAGAGGGUACCGUACGCUGUUGACCGACCCCUCGUAGUCAGAUGGACACCGAAGUGAACGACACUGCAGAUACUCCAGAAGACGAUAACCACCCGAAGCAUACCUAGUAGAUUCCUUAGAAAGAACCUUCAUCCUAUCCCAUGGAGCGGGAGCUAAAGUCAAGAGAACCCCUACGGAUUGAGCUACUAUAAUGACCACGAAUUCGAAAUUUGUUGUCAUCCCGGUUAAGCCAACAUACUAGCUAACACCCUCGGUUGAUAAAGAAACCUGAGUUGUAAGGGUCAAGGACACUGACUACGACCAUCCAUUCACGCUUAAUUCCCCGAAUUAAGCAUCGCAGCGAAUAUCCCGGAAAUCCGAGAGCUGCGAUAAAGUAAGCUCUAAUAAUAAUGGAUGAAAAGAUUNCGAGUGAUUGCCUAUAUUUACUAGAUUCGACCUAGACCGAGAAAACUCGGAACCUUCGGAGGAUUAGUGGCAGUAGAUGCUCGUACUACUCAGGCACUUCGUCCAUCCUGUUAUGGACAAGUAGUGCCUAUCAUCCUCCACCCUCUCGCAUGGAGGAAAUCGUUGUCGCCUUGUAGAUGAUAGACUUCAUUCUCCGAAGAGAACACUAGAAUAUCGAGAACCACAGGAUAACCUCCGUAGCUAAGAAUACUUGAUUAAAGUGCGAAAGUAGUUGCGUUAAGCCUCAUGAACCAAAUCCCGAAAAGAUUAUAGACUUGACACCAGCCUUGGUGUUAGUCGAGGGGUUAUGCAGGAGCAUGCGCUUUCCGCACAAGAAUAAACCAAAGUCUUAGAGGUUAAUUGGACUAUUAGGUGUUCCACGGAUACUAUCUCACGCAGAAAUAGUAGAACCACCUCCUGAGAUAGUCCAACACUCGUCUGGUGAAACCCUAUCUCCCCGACCCUCAGGAUUUUCGUGUCUCAAGAUUCGUUAGUGCAGGUCCAUUUUGCACAAGCUUGAGAUAGACACUCUACAGCAGACAGAUAACCGUAGAUACGCAACCCAUCCGAUGACCUAGAAAGUCUCUAUCAGCCAGUUGACAAGAAACGCGAAACCAAAGACCACCCGAGCUUUCUAAGAACCAGCCUGAAUGACUACACUACCAGUAUGGGAGAGAAUGUUAGGAACUUCGAAAUGGCGAUCGCGCCAGUAAUGAUCUGCCAUAGAAGUACACUAUGUUCUAAGUACUGUAAAGCUCUACCCUUCCGAGAGCUUAGGACCAUCUGAAAAUCCUCAGGGAUUUGUUCCAACCCUCUUCAGACCACUACUACAUUCGGAUACUCCGCAAGCUCCACACCUCGAUCGAUCCACUUCUUAGACUUGAUAUGCGAUUACUCGACGAAACUCUUCAUACCCAACUCAUUUCGAUAGAAACCAUUGAGAACCCUAACCUUGUAGAUACACUAGUCGGGACCCACUAACUACGCGAGACGAAAUCCGCAUCCCGUACGUGAAGGUCUGUUGGAAUGACAAACACGGACCAGAGAUCACUUGGGAAUGCGAGGACAAGCCGUAUAGGAAGUACCCUCUUGCCUCUACUUGGCCAUUCAUACCUAUUUCCUUGCUUAGACCUGAAUUUCGGGACGAAAUUCCCUCUAACGGGGGGAUGAUGUGACAACCCAAGUUGUUCCGUUACAUUUCCCCGUUACUGUUAACGGAAUAUUCCAGUUAUAAAAGUUCCGUUAAUUAGAGGUCAUAAAUUUAAUAAACAUUCCAUUUGUUUACACCUAUUAUGCCGUUAAGUCGUGAUAAAAGAAAAUAAAAACACAUAACACACAUUUCCAUUUAUUUCAAAAAGUUAGUUUUUAUUAUUACGACCACUAAAUCGGGUGCGACGAAAAGCCCCGUUUAACGGCAGUAUCAGGUAAAAUUUCACUGAGCCCCGACUCGGAACCCUAUAUAAAGGUGAGUGGAGUCCAUUGGAGACUUUUUACACUCUCUCUAUACUCUCUCUCUAGACUCGUUUUCGCCCCGAAUCUGCAACCAAACGCUUCCAAAUUGUAAGUCCGCCUACCCUAGCUUAUUCUAAACAUUAUGAUUCAUGUCUAUAUCCCAAAAAUCAAACUUAGAAGCUGUUGAAAAGGAGUUUACGGCCUAAGCUCCUCCUUAGGCCGUAAACACCUUAAAUGAGGCCAAAUUGACCCCAAAAUGUCCCUAAAGGCUUGGAAACAAAUUAAGGGAUUAGUCUAGGAGUGUUUGAUCAAUUAAAACAAUCAAUUUGGGGUAUAAAAGGGAGUUUACGGCCCAAGCAUAUGCCAAGGCCGUAAACACCCCUUAAUCAUGUCUAAAUGACCCAAAAACACUCCUAAAACACCCUAGGACUUAAUACAUAAGUUAGGGGCUUAUCCUUUUGGGUUUAGAACAUUUAAAC